CGCAGCUUGGGCGAUGGCGUGCGGGGCUCGCGCACGUUUUAGGCGCGGGGGCGAUCGGCCUUGCUUUGUCUCCGUUCGAAACCGGGUGGUGCGUC
Molecule: transfer RNA, 95 nt
Filed under: Caulobacter rhizosphaerae
Lineage: Bacteria; Pseudomonadati; Pseudomonadota; Alphaproteobacteria; Caulobacterales; Caulobacteraceae
Description: tRNA-Stop
Source: RNAcentral